AGUAGGUCCCAAGGGUAUGGCUGUUCGCCAUUUAAAGUGGUACGCGAGCUGGGUUUAGAACGUCGUGAGACAGUUCGGUCCCUAUCUGCCGUGGGCGCUGGAGAAUUGAGGGGGGCUGCUCCUAGUACGAGAGGACCGGAGUGGACGCAUCACUGGUGUUCGGGUUGUCAUGCCAAUGGCACUGCCCGGUAGCUAAAUGCGGAAGAGAUAAGUGCUGAAAGCAUCUAAGCACGAAACUUGCCCCGAGAUGAGUUCUCCCUGAGACUUUAAGUCUCCUGAAGGAACGUUGAAGACKACGACGUUGAUAGGUCGGGUGUGUAAGCGCAGCGAUGCGUUGAGCUAACCGAUACUAAUGAACCGUGAGGCUUAACCUU
This 374-nucleotide ribosomal RNA is filed under the name Enterobacter hormaechei. RNAcentral's name for it is "partial 23S ribosomal RNA". Lineage: Bacteria; Pseudomonadati; Pseudomonadota; Gammaproteobacteria; Enterobacterales; Enterobacteriaceae. The record is from RNAcentral.